Molecule: ribosomal RNA, 451 nt
Filed under: uncultured bacterium
Lineage: Bacteria
Description: partial 16S ribosomal RNA
Rfam family: Bacterial small subunit ribosomal RNA
Source: RNAcentral
GUGGGGAAUAUUGGACAAUGGGGGGAACCCUGAUCCAGCCAUGCCGCGUGUGUGAAGAAGGCCUUUUGGUUGUAAAGCACUUUAAGCGAGGAGGAGGCUACCGAGAUUAAUACUCUUGGAUAGUGGACGUUACUCGCAGAAUAAGCACCGGCUAACUCUGUGCCAGCAGCCGCGGUAAUACAGAGGGUGCAAGCGUUAAUCGGAUUUACUGUGCGUAAAGCGCGCGUAGGUGGCCAAUUAAGUCAAAUGUGAAAUCCCCGAGCUUAACUUGGGAAUUGCAUUCGAUACUGGUUGGCUAGAGUAUGGGAGAGGAUGGUAGAAUUCCAGGUGUAGCGGUGAAAUGCGUAGAGAUCUGGAGGAAUACCGAUGGCGAAGGCAGCCAUCUGGCCUAAUACUGACACUGAGGUGCAAAAGCAUGGGGAGCAAACAGGAUUAGAUACCCGAGUAGUCC